UGAGGAAUAUUGGUCAAUGGGCGAGAGCCUGAACCAGCCAAGUAGCGUGCAGGAUGACGGCCCUAUGGGUUGUAAACUGCUUUUAUGUGGGGAUAAAGUGCGUGACGUGUCAUGCAUUGCAGGUACCACAUGAAUAAGGACCGGCUAAUUCCGUGCCAGCAGCCGCGAUAAUACGGAAGGUCCGGGCGUUAUCCGGAUUUAUUGGGUUUAAAGGGAGCGUAGGCUGUCUAUUAAGCGUGUUGUGAAAUUUACCGGCUCAACCGGUGGCUUGCAGCGCGAACUGGUCGACUUGAGUAUGCAGGAAGUAGGCGGAAUUCAUGGUGUAGCGGUGAAAUGCUUAGAUAUCAUGACGAACUCCGAUUGCGCAGGCAGCUUACUGUAGCAUAACUGACGCUGAUGCUCGAAAGUGCGGGUAUCAAACAGG
Molecule: ribosomal RNA, 424 nt
Filed under: Fusobacteriota bacterium
Lineage: Bacteria; Fusobacteriati; Fusobacteriota
Description: Fusobacteria bacterium partial 16S ribosomal RNA
Rfam family: Bacterial small subunit ribosomal RNA
Source: RNAcentral